AUGCAGGUGUACUGUAGCAGCAACAAUCCACCGUCCGUUGCAAUCCAACAGCUCUCCUUUCUCCCCUUUAAUUAUCAGAAACAAACACAUAUUGAACUGGAGAGCAGCGACUGGGGAGCCGAACACCUCCGGCGGCUGCCAAUGGCUCCGACGCCACGAAGCCUCGUCUUGUCCAAUGAGAUCAUGGCGAACGAGAUCUUAGCGCAGCAGCCGGCUAAGAAACGCCCUAGCUGUGGUACAUGCCUCUUACCGUGGCCUCUUACCGUGGAGCCCGGAUGGGGCUAUGCUACGACCAGCGUGGUGGCUCGUGCAAGUGCAACCGCGGUCUGCUCCGCCACCACCAUCUGCUUGCGCUCCCGCAACCUUCAACAUAACCACGUGAACGCUGAGGAUGGACGACAUGACGACAUGGGACAAGGUCGGCGUGGUCGACUCCGACGAUCUCUAAUCCCUCCCCGGCUAUGGCCUCGUGCCAUGCAUCAGGCCGGAGUACCCCACCGUACCGUUAGCCUGGAUGAUCCCGAUGUUAUCUGCUUCAUGGUGCACAAGAACGAAUACCAUCUGAAUUCUUCGACAACUCCUCUCCCGGCCGUUCUCCGGCAAGGCGCCAUGAACGAGGGGACAAGCACACCUGGGUCGCCGCAUGCCUGCUCAACGACGAGGAAAAACGAGAGCGGUUGGAUUCGAACGGACGGCGGAUUGUUGCUGCUACAGUACCGGUACAGUCAAAGCUUAACUGCAGAGGAGCCGAACCCCAUAUCAUGCAUGUAUGCCGGUCGAAUCAAUAGCCCUAUGGUCUGGUACAAAGAAUCUCUUAGCUAUAUGAACCAUCUAAACUGCCAAAAAAAACUAAAAGUAAUGAGAUUUGAGGAAAGAGGAAAAGAUGUUGUACUACCUCCGUCCGGAAUUAAAAGGCCGGAAGACCAAUUCUCCCGGACCAAGGCGCUCUCUCGUUGGCGCUCUCGCUUCUCUUUUCUCAGGCAUGCAUGA
RNAcentral lists this ribosomal RNA (990 nucleotides) under Triticum aestivum (bread wheat). Its description in RNAcentral is "partial small subunit ribosomal RNA". The record is from RNAcentral. Lineage: Eukaryota; Viridiplantae; Streptophyta; Magnoliopsida; Poales; Poaceae.